GACGAACGCUGGCGGCGUGCUUAACACAUGCCAGUCGAACGGGCCUUGUCCCCUUUUUUUUUGGGGGUGGGGUUAGUGGCGAACGGGUGAGUAACACGUGAGUAACCUGCCCCUCACUUCUGGAUAACCGCUUGAAAGGGUGGCUAAUACGGGGUGUUCUGUCCUGCUCGCAUGGGUGGGUUUGGAAAGAUUCGACCGGUUUUGGUUGUUUUGGUGGGGGAUGGGCUCGCGGCCUAUCAGCUUGUUGGUGGGGUGAUGGCCUGCCAAGGCUUUGACGGGUAGCCGGCCUGAGAGGGUGGGCGGUCACACUGGGACUGAGACACGGCCCAGACUCCUACGGGAGGCAGCAGUGGGGAAUAUUGCACAAUGGGCGCAAGCCUGAUGCAGCGACGCCGCGUGAGGGAUGGAGGCCUUCGGGUUGUGAACCUCUUUCGCCAGUGAAGAAGGUCCUGCUCUUUGUGGUGGGGUUGACGGUAGCUGGGUUAAUGAAGCGCCGGCUAACUACGUG
RNAcentral lists this ribosomal RNA (508 nucleotides) under uncultured bacterium. RNAcentral describes it as "partial 16S ribosomal RNA". It matches the Rfam family "Bacterial small subunit ribosomal RNA", at positions 28 to 507 of the family's 1533-position model. The record is from RNAcentral.